RNAcentral lists this non-coding RNA (757 nucleotides) under Pongo abelii (Sumatran orangutan). Lineage: Eukaryota; Metazoa; Chordata; Mammalia; Primates; Hominidae. The record is from RNAcentral.
GUGUGGGAAUCAGUGAGUCUAGCACGGGGCUUACCCGGAAUUUCAUCAGCCCUCAGAACCCAGCUUUGUGACCCAUAGGGUAAUCAUGCCACAAACAAUCCAACCAAAAUGAAACCAUCCCAGGCCACUCUGAGCUCAGAAGCCAAAGCAGGAAACAGAGAACUCUACGAAUGUGGAGGCAUCACUCUGUCCUGGGCCCAGCAAACUCAGGAGGCAGCUGCAUCUACAUUUCAAUUAAGCAUUGAGAGAUGCAAGGAACUAUUACUGACUUCUAAAUUUUCCCUUCACCAUAGUCAUUCUGCCUGAACUUCCACAGUUAGACUGAGACAUAAAAUGCUAAUCUACCUGGAAAGCUCUUUCCUGGCUGUCAGUUCCGAGUCCAGCCUCUCCUCGCAUUGCUGCAGACGCUUUCUGAGGAACUCGUUCUCCAUCUGAGCACAGUCGAAGCGCAUUUGCCACUCGUCUGCUGUUUAACGGAGUCAGGGAGACCAGGAUAAAAGACCAAAUGAGUACCCCUGAUCUCCAUAAGUGUCCCUGACAUUUCAAGGGCACAAAUUCUCUGGACACACGGAGGGAAUAAUGCUGACAUUUUAUAGAAGCUGACCCACUGGAUAUCCUUCUCACCCAACUCCAUUAGGCUAGGGAGAGUAAGAGGCAUGGUGACAAGGUGGCAAAGAUGUCACCAUGCCAUCCAAUCACGAGGUCUCCAGGAAACUGUAUAAGAAGGACACCCCCAGAAACUCCUGGCACUACUGAA